RNAcentral lists this ribosomal RNA (253 nucleotides) under uncultured bacterium. Its description in RNAcentral is "partial 16S ribosomal RNA". It matches the Rfam family "Bacterial small subunit ribosomal RNA", at positions 524 to 776 of the family's 1533-position model. The record is from RNAcentral.
GACGUAGGGCGCGAGCGUUGUCCGGAUUUAUUGGGCGUAAAGAGCGUGUAGGCGGUUGGGUAGGUCCGUUGUGAAAACUCGAGGCUCAACCUCGAGACGCCGAUGGAAACCCCCUAGCUAGAGUCCGGAAGAGGAGAGUGGAAUUCCUGGUGUAGCGGUGAAAUGCGCAGAUAUCAGGAAGAACACCCGUGGCUAAGGCGGCUCUCUAGUACGGUACUGACGCUGAGACGCGAAAGCGUGGGGAGCGAACAGG